CCUACGGGAGGCAGCAGUCGAGAAUCAUUCACAAUGGGGGAAACCCUGAUGGUGCGACGCCGCGUGGGGGAUUGAAGGCCUUCGGAUUUUAAACUCCUUUCAUGUGGGAGCAAAUUAAAAAGAUAGUACCACAAGAGAAAGAGACGGCUAACUCUGUGCCAGCAGCCGCGGUAAUACAGAGGUCUCAAGCGUUGUUCGGAACUACUGGGCGUAAAGCGUGCGUAGGCUGUUUCGUAAGUCGUGUGUGAAAGGCGCGGGCUCAACCCGCGGACGGCACAUGAUACUGCGAGACUAGAGUAAUGGAGGGGGAACCGGAAUUCUCGGUGUAGCAGUGAAAUGCGUAGAUAUCGAGAGGAACACUCGUGGCGAAGGCGGGUUCCUGGACAUUAACUGACGCUGAGGCACGAAGGCCAGGGGAGCGAAAGGGAUUAGAUACCCGAGUAGUC
RNAcentral lists this ribosomal RNA (446 nucleotides) under uncultured bacterium. RNAcentral describes it as "partial 16S ribosomal RNA". It matches the Rfam family "Bacterial small subunit ribosomal RNA", at positions 338 to 795 of the family's 1533-position model. The record is from RNAcentral.